UACGUAGGGUGCGAGCGUUAAUCGGAAUUACUGGGCGUAAAGCGUGCGCAGGCGGUUCGUUAAGUCAGACGUGAAAUCCCUCGGCUUAACCGGGGAACUGCGUCUGAUACUGGAUGGCUUGAGUGUGGGAGAGGGAUGCGGAAUUCCAGGUGUAGCGGUGAAAUGCGUAGAUAUCUGGAGGAACACCGGUGGCGAAGGCGGCAUCCUGGACCACGACUGACGCUGAGUGAGCGAAAGCCAGGGGAGCAAACGGG
RNAcentral lists this ribosomal RNA (254 nucleotides) under uncultured bacterium. Its description in RNAcentral is "partial 16S ribosomal RNA". It matches the Rfam family "Bacterial small subunit ribosomal RNA", at positions 524 to 776 of the family's 1533-position model. The record is from RNAcentral.